RNAcentral lists this ribosomal RNA (1049 nucleotides) under uncultured archaeon. Its description in RNAcentral is "bacterial SSU rRNA". It matches the Rfam family "Archaeal small subunit ribosomal RNA", at positions 1 to 1053 of the family's 1478-position model. The record is from RNAcentral.
GCGGCCGCUCCGUUUGAUCCCGGCGGAGGCCACUGCUAUCGGAGUUCGAUUAAGCCAUGCGAGUCGAGAGGUGCAAGACCUCGGCAUACUGCUCAGUAACACGUGGACAACCUACCCUAUGGAGGGGGAUAACCCCGGGAAACUGGGGAUAAUACCCCAUAGACUAUAGAUGCUGGAAUGCUUUGUAGUUGAAAGGUCCGCCGCCAUAGGAUGGGUCUGCGGCCGAUUAGGUUGUUGUUGGGGUAACGGCCCAACAAGCCUGUAAUCGGUACGGGUUGUGGGAGCAAGAGCCCGGAGAUGGAUUCUGAGACACGAAUCCAGGCCCUACGGGGCGCAGCAGGCGCGAAAACUUUACAAUGCGGGAAACCGUGAUAAGGGAACUCCGAGUGCCCGUAAAAUCGGGCUGUCCACCAGUUUAAAUAACUGGUGAAGAAAGGGCCGGGCAAGACCGGUGCCAGCCGCCGCGGUAAUACCGGCGGCUCGAGUGGUGGCCACUAUUACUGGGCUUAAAGCGUUCGUAGCUGGUCUGUUAAGUCUCUGGGGAAAUCUACUGGCUUAACCAAUAGGCGUCUCAGGGAUACUGGCAGACUAGGGACCGGGAGAGGUGAGAGGUACUCCAGGGGUAGGAGUGAAAUCCUGUAAUCCUUGGGGGGCCACCUGUGGCGAAGGCGUCUCACCAGAACGGCUCCGACAGUGAGGGACGAAAGCUGGGGGAGCAAACCGGAUUAGAUACCCGGGUAGUCCCAGCUGUAAACGAUGCGCGUUAGGUGUAUCGGUGACCACGAGUCACCGAGGUGCCGAAGAGAAAUCGUGAAACGUGCCGCCUGGGAAGUACGGUCGCAAGGCUGAAACUUAAAGGAAUUGGCGGGGGAGCACCACAACAGGUGGAGCUGCGGUUUAAUCGGACUCAACGCCGGAAAUCUCACCGGAUAAGACAGCUGGAUGAUAGUCGGGCUGAAGACUCUACUUGACUAGCUGAGAGGAGGUGCAUGGCCGUCGUCAGUUCGUACUGUGAAGCAUCCUGUUAAGUMAAGCAACGAGCGAGACCC